RNAcentral lists this ribosomal RNA (219 nucleotides) under Mycobacterium marinum. RNAcentral's name for it is "partial 16S ribosomal RNA". It matches the Rfam family "Bacterial small subunit ribosomal RNA", at positions 1 to 228 of the family's 1533-position model. The record is from RNAcentral. Lineage: Bacteria; Bacillati; Actinomycetota; Actinomycetes; Mycobacteriales; Mycobacteriaceae.
AAGAGUUUGAUCCUGGCUCAGGACGAACGCUGGCGGCGUGCUUAACACAUGCAAGUCGAACGGAAAGGUCUCUUCGGAGAUACUCGAGUGGCGAACGGGUGAGUAACACGUGGGCGAUCUGCCCUGCACUUCGGGAUAAGCCUGGGAAACUGGGUCUAAUACCGGAUAGGACCACGGGAUUCAUGUCCUGUGGUGGAAAGCUUUUUGGGUGCAGGAUGA